This 254-nucleotide ribosomal RNA is filed under the name uncultured bacterium. RNAcentral describes it as "partial 16S ribosomal RNA". It matches the Rfam family "Bacterial small subunit ribosomal RNA", at positions 524 to 776 of the family's 1533-position model. The record is from RNAcentral.
UACGGGGGGAGCAAGCGUUGUUCGGAUUUACUGGGCGUAAAGGGCGCGUAGGCGGCCACCGCAAGUCAGUUGUGAAAUCUCUGGGCUUAACCCAGAACGGUCAGCUGAUACUGCGGGGCUAGAGUGCAGAAGGGGCAACUGGAAUUCUCGGUGUAGCAGUGAAAUGCGUAGAUAUCGAGAGGAACACCUGCGGCGAAGGCGGGUUGCUGGGCUGACACUGACGCUGAGGCGCGAAAGCCAGGGGAGCAAACGGG